ACCCAACGUGCUUUGAACCUUACUGCUUCAACCUUUGAGAUUCUUUCUUUCUUUUUGAAGAUAUCCAUUUACACCCAACAAUCUUCUGACCGCAUGGUGGUUUCACGAGCUCUCAUGUCUAAUUCUUAUAAAGACUCAAUCGAUCUCUUCACUCACAGCAAUAGAGCACUAUACAAAUUCACUGUUAGUGAUGGUCUCAUUACAACUGAUAUGAUCUUGAACUUCAAUAGACUUUACCAUAGAUAAUGCAAAAA
This 254-nucleotide long non-coding RNA is filed under the name Elaeis guineensis (African oil palm). RNAcentral's name for it is "long non-coding RNA (EGUI_LNC039126)". Lineage: Eukaryota; Viridiplantae; Streptophyta; Magnoliopsida; Arecales; Arecaceae. The record is from RNAcentral.